AUUAAACGCUGGCGGCAUGCCUUACACAUGCAAGUCGAACGGCAGCACGGGGGCAACCCUGGUGGCGAGUGGCGAACGGGUGAGUAAAGCAUCGGAACGUGCCCUGGAUGGGGGAUAACGUAGCGAAAGUUACGCUAAUACCGCAUAUUCUGUGAGCAGGAAAGCAGGGGAUCGCAAGACCUUGCGCUCUGGGAGCGGCCGAUGUCGGAUUAGCUAGUUGGUGGGGUAAAGGCCUACCAAGGCGACGAUCCGUAGCGGGUCUGAGAGGAUGAUCCGCCACACUGGGACUGAGACACGGCCCAGACUCCUACGGGAGGCAGCAGUGGGGAAUUUUGGACAAUGGGCGAAAGCCUGAUCCAGCCAUGCCGCGUGAGUGAAGAAGGCC
RNAcentral lists this ribosomal RNA (385 nucleotides) under uncultured bacterium. RNAcentral describes it as "bacterial SSU rRNA". It matches the Rfam family "Bacterial small subunit ribosomal RNA", at positions 29 to 416 of the family's 1533-position model. The record is from RNAcentral.